AACGCACAUUGCGCCCGCUAGUAUUCUGGCGGGCAUGCCUGUUCGAGCGUCAUUUCAACCAUCAAGCGCCUGCGCUUGUGUUGGAGCCCUGCGGCUGCCGCAGGCUCCCAAACCCAGUGGCGGGCUCGUCGUCGUACCGAGUGCAGUAAACUUACCACGCUCAGGGCGCGCGACGGGUGACCGGCCGUAAAACACCCCAUUUAUCAAGGUUGACCUCGGAUCAGGUAGGAAUACCCGCUGAACUUAA
RNAcentral lists this unclassified non-coding RNA (247 nucleotides) under uncultured Lasiosphaeriaceae. RNAcentral's name for it is "sequence contains ITS2". The record is from RNAcentral. Lineage: Eukaryota; Fungi; Ascomycota; Sordariomycetes; Sordariales; Lasiosphaeriaceae.